Molecule: ribosomal RNA, 468 nt
Filed under: uncultured bacterium
Lineage: Bacteria
Description: partial 16S ribosomal RNA
Rfam family: Bacterial small subunit ribosomal RNA
Source: RNAcentral
GACGAACGCUGGCGGCGUGCUUAACACAUGCAAGUCGAACGGAAAGGCCCUGCUUUUGUGGGGUGCUCGAGUGGCGAAAGGGUGAGUAACACGUGAGUAACCUGCCCUUGACUUUGGGAUAACUUCAGGAAACUGGGGCUAAUACCGGAUAGGAGCUCCUGCUGCAUGGUGGGGGUUGGAAAGUUUCGGCGGUUGGGGAUGGACUCGCGGCUUAUCAGCUUGUUGGUGGGGUAGUGGCUUACCAAGGCUUUGACGGGUAGGCGGCCUGUGAGGGUGACCGGCCACAUGGGGACUGAGAGAGGGCCCAGACGCCUACGGGAGGCAGCAGGGGGGAAUAUUGCACAAUGGGCGGAAGCCGGAUGCAGCAACGCCGCGUGCGGGAUGACGGCCUUCGGGUUGUAAACCGCUGUCGCCUGUGACGAAGCGUGAGUGACGGUAAUGGGUAAAGAAGCACCGGCUAACUACGUG